This 817-nucleotide long non-coding RNA is filed under the name Mus caroli (Ryukyu mouse). RNAcentral's name for it is "lncRNA (MGP_CAROLIEiJ_G0006643.1)". Lineage: Eukaryota; Metazoa; Chordata; Mammalia; Rodentia; Muridae. The record is from RNAcentral.
UUUUGCAGAACACCAUGGGCUGGCGCCGUGUCGUAGAGGCCAUCUGUUCUUUCACUUUUCCCAAAGAGCUAACACUUCUCUGCUGCUCUCUGGAUCCUCCUCCCCCUACCUUGAACCCUCAAGAUGAAAGGUGAGUUCUCUUCUGCCCCAUGUGGGUGGGACAUGGCGGGAUGCCAAGGGCAGGGGUCUCAUUCUCUCCCACCCAUAGAAAUGGUGCUACCCAGCUCAUGUCUGGGCCUUUGAAUCCGGAGACUUCUUUAAGUCCGUCUCGUUCUGAAUCAAGAAGAUGCUGCAAUCAGAACCACUACACUACCUGCCUCAGGAAUCUGCUCCAAGGUGAAGCUGAAAGAACAGAUGGUGUCAACAUCUUGAAAGAACAGACUCAUAGCACCCACCCACCCCUGAGAAUCCAUCUUCAUGGCCAACUCUGCCUGACCCGGGAGACCACCACCCACAUCAUCCUGGAGCCAAGCCUCUACCCCAGGAUGACUUCAUCAUCUCCCUCCUGUCUUUUUCUUCUUCCUCCUUUCCUGUAAUUCUGUUUCUUUCCUUUUGUUCCUUCCUUGCUUGAGAGACUCAAAGCACCCGUGACUCUGUUUCCCCAUUUACCCCCUUUUGAAUUUGCACUAAGUCGAUUGCACUGGUUUGGAGUCCUGGAGAUAGCCUUGAGUCUCUCCGUAUGAAUGUAUACAACGAGUGUGUAGGCCUCUUUGGCAAUGCCGCCCCAGUACCCGCCUGUCAUCCAUCUCUGUCUGAGGGCAACUGGGUGUGGCCGUGUGCUUGAGGCCUCGCCUUCCCCUCGCCUAGUCUGGAAGCA